UGCAGGGGACGACCCCUAGGGUCGACACCUGCGAUGGAAAAUCUCUAUAACGAUUAGUUUUUAGCUCAUUUUGAUCAUAUUUAAUGCUCAUUUAAGGCUCUCCAAUGUCUAUAAAUUUAUCUAAAUUUCUCUCCAGCAUCUAUUGAAGAUAUAAAGAAACUUAAAGGAGAGAAAAAGAGAAGAGAUUCAAGCAUUCAUUUCAGCCUUAAGCAAAAAGUCUUCUUCAAGCAAAAGAAGCUUUCAUUUCAAGUUCACCAACCCCUCA
RNAcentral lists this long non-coding RNA (265 nucleotides) under Elaeis guineensis (African oil palm). RNAcentral's name for it is "long non-coding RNA (EGUI_LNC060750)". The record is from RNAcentral. Lineage: Eukaryota; Viridiplantae; Streptophyta; Magnoliopsida; Arecales; Arecaceae.